This is a non-coding RNA of Punica granatum (pomegranate), 1569 nucleotides long. NCBI's taxonomy places the organism in Eukaryota, Viridiplantae, Streptophyta, Magnoliopsida, Myrtales, Lythraceae. The record is from RefSeq and is a predicted model, not a curated record.
AUUAAAAUUUGAAGCAUUUUAUAUACAUAGACGCUCGAGUAUUCAAUGAAUGGAGAAAGAGUCGCACUCAAAAAUCAAUGAGUACUUCUCUCCCCAUAUAAAGAGGCCUCCCGGCAGUCGUUAGGGUUGUGCUAAUAUUUCUCAACAGCUUCCCUUAUCCCAUGCAGUCAACCAUUAGGGUUUCUGAAGCUUCAUAUAGAGAAAGAUCCCGCUGACAUGAAUGUCUUAGGUAGCCACAGGCCGGGCCGGGGAAAGAUCUGAAACUCGAGAUGAUUAAAGUCAGUUUUGGAUCUCUCCUCUUCCUCGGUAGUCACCGUUGUUUGAAGGCAAAGUUGAAGGAAUCGCGUAUUUUUCCGUCAUUUGCGUGAUAUUCUGUUGAGCUAACGGGACACCAGAAGUGUGGUCUCGGAGAUUGAGGUUGAUGGGAAUGUUGUUUGGCUCGAGAUCAUCCAUGCCCCGGACGAAAGCCAUUGAUCAAAGCCAUGUGUGUAUAUAUAGCAUGGAUAGUGAGGGGAGCCUUUGUAUGAUCUCGGACCAGGCUUCAUUCCCGUCAGCCCAACAAUUCUCUCCGCCUGUAUGCGUGAAUCUCGUGUCAAGUUCGCCUACAUUUCGCAAUAUACAUGUGCUUCUGAAGCCUUAAACAGAUAAGAGGCUUGAUCUCUGCCCCGAUCUGAAUUCACCCCGUGUCAUCGACUUGCCAAUUUUCUUCUCUCCUUGUGAACGAAAAAAGAAAUUGGAAGAAGGCAAUUCUGUCCGAAGAUAUAUCGUAUAUGCGAGGCGGACGGUGAAAGUUACGUGUCGGUGUCUUAUAAUUCUCGGUAAGUCUGAAAGUCAGAAAAAAACUCCUUAAUUAUCUUUUAUAAUUUAUUUACAUUUCCCCAUGUUCUAUUCAUUUUCAAGGUCGAUCUCUAAUUUUUCAUCCUAUCAAUAUCGUCAUGCUGUUGUAUAUGAGUGCCAUGCAGCGAAGACAGAAUGGUUCAGUACAGCACCAGAUUCAGCGACACAUUUUGGCAAGUUUUAGCUAAGUUUUGCGUUAUUUUUCUAUAUUACCGUUAAGGUUAUAACUAAGCACGACACAGUUGCUGCUGAAUUGUUCAGCAAAGUAAACUGGACAACAAAAACCGGCGAGGCGAGUUAUGGAUGAAGGGUUACUUUCCAUCCUCUUUUCAUCCAAUUCGAAUUUGCUAGCCAUUUUUGCAGCAAAUUCUCUGCCGCUGAAGUUAAAAGGUGCAAUUAUGUACCAUAUAUACCGAGCCGUAGCUGGAACUGUGAGCUCAGAGAACAGCUUGGCAUACGGUGCCUUAUAGUUCCUGGAAAGAUCAUGCUCUCCACCAUCAGCAAAGGAUCUGUACGUUGUAAUUUCUAGUCGUUAUUUUUUAUUGUGUAAUUUGAAAUGAAUGCUCACAAUAAUCCUUAGGUUUUAUGUUGUCGUGCUUGGCGUGAUCCACGUAGCAGUCUACUCAUGUAUGCAUAUGUAUUUCUUUAGCAAUCUUAGCCCAAGGAGCUCGAGCAUCUUCUGUAUGGCGCAGUAUCGAUAUUAUAGUUGUGGCAGACUAGUUGAGGCUGUAA